CCUACGGGAGGCAGCAGUGAGGAAUAUUGGUCAAUGGACGAGAGUCUGAACCAGCCAAGUCGCGUGAAGGAUGAAGGCCCUAUGGGUGGUAAGCUUCAUUUAUAUGGAAGUAAAAUGUUCCACGUGUGGGAGGUUGUAUGUACCAUAUGAAUAAGGAACGGCUAACGCCGUGCCAGCAGCCGCGGUAAUAAGGAGGAGCAGAGCGUUAUCCGGAUUUAGUGGGUGUAAAGGGAGCGUAGGUGGGUUGUUAAGUCAGUUGUGAAAGCUGGCGGCUGAACCGGAAAAUUGCAGGUGAAACUGGCAGUCUUGAGUACAGGAGAGGUAGGCGGAAUUCGUAGUGUAGCGGUGAAAUGCUUAGAUAUCACGAAGAACUCCGAUUGCGAAGGCAGUUCACUGGACUGCAACUGACGCUGAGGCUCGAAAGUGUGGGUAUCAAACAGGAUUAGAUACCCGUGUAGUC
Molecule: ribosomal RNA, 460 nt
Filed under: uncultured bacterium
Lineage: Bacteria
Description: partial 16S ribosomal RNA
Rfam family: Bacterial small subunit ribosomal RNA
Source: RNAcentral